Anas platyrhynchos (mallard) is the source of this 3350-nucleotide non-coding RNA. The record is from RefSeq and is a predicted model, not a curated record. Lineage: Eukaryota; Metazoa; Chordata; Aves; Anseriformes; Anatidae.
GCUGUAUCAGAUGGGCUACACCUGUACUGGGCUUCUGAAGCCUUCUCAGGUGUGACGUGGGGUAUUCCCCUUCCCCUGGGCAGGGCACAACAGCAAAGCCGAAUUUGUGAGGAAGACGCUUGCUGGUGAUACCUCUGUGAUUCAACAAAAUCCCAGAUCAGCUGAGGGAUGCCUGAAACAGGAAUUUCCAUUUGAAGUGUUGGUUCCUGGACCAUUGACUUUUGUGGAUGUACUGACUGUGGGACCUGAGGAGAGGGACUACAGUUACAAUAAGCGUGUGGUGGAAGAGGUGUGCUCCAAGCUGUAAUCUCCCACGAGGCAGCUGAGUGUGGGCUCUUACCUGCCCCUUGUGAGGAAACGCGUGUUGCUGGUACGAAGGCUUUUUUCCUCCUAGUGGCUGCGGGCUUGAGGGAGAAUGGGGGCAGAAACCUCUUGCCCUAAUGCUGCCUUCAGCUGCAUGCAGAAUAAGAUCAGUUUUCAGGUCUUGGCUCCGUGUGAGCGGGCGGGGGCAGCGCACGGUGGCACGCCGCCCUGGCAUCGCUCCUGACGUGGGGUACUGGGACGGCUCCUUACGGGGGGAGAAGGUGGUUUACUUUGGCUGGGGCUGCUACGCGGUGUGUGAGGCUCCACACAAAUGCUGCCACUUGGAACUCAUUUUGAAGCUUGUCUGGUGAUGAUGUCAGGCUGUUUUGACAUGGCACCUCUCUGUAUCCCACUUCUAGGAUAAUUCAUUAAAAUAAAGUAAGUUAAGCCACUGACUGACCAAACAGGCUCCUACUUCAUCACCAAGCAAGUGAGUAACGUUUCUGUGCUGCAGUCACUGGCUUUCUUUCCAAGUCAGCUCCAAACUCAUUUAAUUAGAGAAGAGAAGCUGAUGGGAUGACUGGUGAUGGGAGGAGAGGUGUUAGCAGAGGGAGACAGGGCAGAGAGGUUUCUCUCUAAGACGCCUCCCUUUCCUUCUCAGCAUCUCCUCCAGCUGUCUCAUGCCCAGAGUGUUCAGAGCCUUCCCUGGUUCUUGCCACCACCAGGACGGGAGGACAGGCACAGCUCUGCCGUUCGCGCUGCCCAGAGCGAAACUGCGGAGCUGGAAAUUGAAGGGUCUUGCAGAGGACGAGAGCCCCUGCAGGGAUCCCGCUGCUCAUCCUCAGCUCAGCCAGCAGAGGCACUUGAAGCCAGGCGGUUCUGGUGCAGGCUGAGCCGCGCAGCUGCAGUCUGCUGCCUGCGCUGGGGAGGUCAGGGCCAGUGGGGUAACUCACCCCAGGCAGUUCCUAUUAUUUUAUUUGGAAAGGGGCCACUUGCUGUUGUUCAGAUUGAGUUCACUUAGCAUGAAAGUAGCAACGUUUCAGUGCAGCUACCACCGAGCAGUCGAAGCAGUGGAGGCCGCUGGCCUCCUUUUCUUGUGGUUUGUGUGCAGAGGCUGUCCUCUAUGUAGGGCGGCGGCAGGCAGCUUGCGCUGAAACGUUUCAGCUGAACGUCUCCCAUGCAUCGUCUCUGUGGCUGCAUUUCUGUAAGCACACACAUUUUGUAAUCAUUUUUUUUAAAUUAUAAAAAACGUUUUUUCUAGAUAGAGCUGCUGUGACUACCAAGCAGUGCGCUUUGUUCGGGCUGCGGCUUCAAAGCAGCGGCACUGGUUCAAGGAGAAAGCGUUAAAUCAGCGGCGCGCCAGGCAGGACAGCUGCCGCAGAAGCUUUUGUGUGUCAGCAUGCGUGCCUUGCGUUUCGCUGCUCUAGAAAGGCCUCAGGACGGAAAGGCACUGUGCACACCUACGUAGCUUCCUACACCGCAGUGAGGGCCGCUCCUCUACAAAUGGAGCACCUUCAAAUGGACUGAGCUCUGCCACGGCACGCAGGUCUGCUGCUUCUCUCAGCAUCCGCAUCAAAUAGACUUUAAAAGGCUUUGCACAUAACUUAAACUGUAUGCAUUGACGACCAUCACAUGCCUCUCAAAAUCAUGCCCUUUUCUGUCACAAUCAGACAACUAUAUCUGAGGAAAAAUAAUUUUGAACUUGGUGUGGAAGGGGUGAUUAUAGCUGUAACCUGGGAUUCUUGCUCCAGCAGUUCCUACCAGUGAUGUUCUUGCUCUGUUAGUGCAGUUGACUUCAGCAGCCUGAGUUUCUCCCAGAGGCCUGAACAGCAGAGGAACAAAUAGCUUUGAGUAAUACCAGCUUAAACUGAAAAUGAAUAGAAGGAAUAAGAAGUAUUCCCAUUCUUCAAGUGAAAAUAUUAACACUACAAUAAGAAGAAAGAAGCCUUUAUUUUUAGUCUUCAUAAAGCAAGUGAACAUUUGGAAAGUUCUGCAGCUUGUGGAACACUUGCUCUUUCAGCAUUGAUGAUACUGAAGAAAUAACAAGGCUCUGAAGUGUAGAAAGUUGUGUCAAUAGAAAUCUCAAGAGUCCACAAAUGAGAGGUCUCAAUGAAAUGCAUACAGUAGAAAAGUGAAUACAAAGAAAAAGAAUGACUGACUGCUUGUUGGGUCCAGUCCUUUGAAAAGUUAAGUCUUGUUAUUCCCUCAGUAGAAAUGGCUGAAAACAACCUGUUUCACUCGAAUUAAGGAAGCUGAGCAUUACUGCAGCAAGUUAAGAAAAACCCUGUUGACUUCCUGGAAACUGAAAGAAUUUUUUUUGAAGAAGUAGUUGUCUCUGACAUCACUAAACUGCAUAGCAAGUUUGUGAGUGGUUAGUUUGGGGGUAACAGAGGAAGCGACUCCUUCACAGAUAAGCAGGCAGUAUAAUUGAGAGACACAUGCUGCUUCAUAAGGAUACGCCUGAUUUCCAGAAAUAACCAUGUUUUUGUGGCUUAAGCUCUUGGCGUUUGGCGUUGCCCUCCUGUGUCAGGAUGCUUUUGUCAAAGCAGGAAAUGAAACUGCAACAUCUUCCAGCACUCCCCCCUCCCCUACGCCCGCACGCUCCACGUCACUCUCACCUUCAGGCACCACUAAAGCAGGAGAUGAAAAUCAGGCACCUACCAGCUCUUCCCCCUCCCCUUCGUCACCUCCACCCUCCACGUCACUCUCACCUGCAAGCACCGCUAAAGGAGCUCAGAACGUGACAACACCAACUAAUGAUAACAAAACAACAUCCUUGCACAGCACCACCUCACCAGUCAGCAUGCCAGCAAGCACGGGGACCACCCCCAGUCAUACAAUAGAAAGUCCCUCAGUGCCAACUGAAGAACCUUGUGGUAAGAACCAAACCCCUUAUUUAUCUCAGCCCUGAUAUUUGAACAUAUCAGUAAACUCAGGGAAAAUUUAUCACUAAAACAAAUGAGCUACCAUUUCAAUUUGCUUUAUAAACUGUCUCAUGCUUCUGAAAGAUUUGCAUUAAAGUUAUUAACAGUUCUGAUCUUCUCAUC